CGUUGUAGGCGGGGACAUAAGUCAGAUGUGAAAUACCGAGGCUUAACUUCGGGGCUGCAUCUGAAACUAUGUUUCUUGAGUGUCGGAGAGGAAAGUGGAAUUCCCAGUGUAGCGGUGAAAUGCGUAGAUAUUGGGAGGAACACCAGUGGCGAAGGCGACUUUCUGGACGAUAACUGACGCUGAGGCGCGAAAGCGUGGGGAGCAAACAGGAUUAGAUACCCUGGUAGUCCACGCUGUAAACGAUGGAUACUAGGUGUAGGAGGUAUCGACCCCUUCUGUGCCGGAGUUAACACAAUAAGUAUCCCACCUGGGGAGUACGGCCGCAAGGUUGAA
This 333-nucleotide ribosomal RNA is filed under the name uncultured bacterium. Its description in RNAcentral is "bacterial SSU rRNA". It matches the Rfam family "Bacterial small subunit ribosomal RNA", at positions 568 to 898 of the family's 1533-position model. The record is from RNAcentral.